UGAGUAACCUGCCCUUAACUCUGGGAUAAGCCUGGGAAACUGGGUCUAAUACCGGAUAUGACUCCUCAUCGCAUGGUGGGGGGUGGAAAGCUUUAUUGUGGUUUUGGAUGGACUCGCGGCCUAUCAGCUUGUUGGUGAGGUAAUGGCUCACCAAGGCGACGACGGGUAGCCGGCCUGAGAGGGUGACCGGCCACACUGGGACUGAGACACGGCCCAGACUCCGUACGGGGGGCAG
This 235-nucleotide ribosomal RNA is filed under the name uncultured bacterium. RNAcentral's name for it is "partial 16S ribosomal RNA". It matches the Rfam family "Bacterial small subunit ribosomal RNA", at positions 118 to 351 of the family's 1533-position model. The record is from RNAcentral.